UACCAGCCGGGGGAGUAGCGGGUCCCUGCACCUGAAAUCCGCUAUAUGCAGGGGUAGAUCCCCUCUUUGAGGGCCGAAGCGAUGCGGUCCGGAAUGUACGCGCUGUGUUGACGGGUGGGUCCCGCGCAAUCGGUCGCCGCGAACCAUGUCAGGUGGGGAACCAAGCAGCAUUAAACGGUCAAACCGGUGUGCCGCGGGGGUGCCUGCCCUGAGCAGAGUGUACGGAUCCCGCGCAAAGCAGGUGCUCG
RNAcentral lists this signal recognition particle RNA (248 nucleotides) under human gut metagenome. Its description in RNAcentral is "Bacterial large signal recognition particle RNA". It matches the Rfam family "Bacterial large signal recognition particle RNA". From Rfam's summary of the family: The signal recognition particle (SRP) is a universally conserved ribonucleoprotein involved in the co-translational targeting of proteins to membranes. Archaeal SRP consists of a 7S RNA and homologues of the eukaryotic SRP19 and SRP54 proteins. The record is from RNAcentral. RNAcentral also lists the same sequence under 1 other name.